AGGCAUUCGAUUGGUGGUCUUUGCCGUUGUAAGUAACGGAGCUUCGAAGUCAGCGACUGUAGUGUUAAAUAUUGUAGCCCGGAUGAACCGGAUUCGGAUCCACGUGCUGCCGUCCAGCAGGGGUCGAGCGUCGCAGGCCGCGCGCGCCCACGAGCCCCAGACGUGCGCGUUCACGCAGAGAGCGUGCACUCAGCCUCGCAUAGACGGCUGGGACUUCUGCAUCAAGCACAUCCUGGAAGACAAAAACGCUCCAUACAGGCAGUGCAGCUAUGUCUCCAGUAAGAACGGCAAGCGCUGUCCCAAUGCUGCACCAAAACCAGAGAAGAAGGACGGGGUUGCAUUUUGUGCUGAACAUGCACACAGGAAUGCUUUGGCGCUGCAGGCACAGAUGCGCAAGGCUUCCUCCGGACCGUCCCCUGAGGUCCUGCUGUCUCAGCUCAGUGGCUACAACAGGACGGAGUUGGGAGCUCUCGGCCAAGAUGGCCGCAGUGAAGCGAGUCGCAUACUAGAUGAAGACAGCUGGAGCGAAGACGAGCAGGAUCCAGUGGUGCUGGAUCAGACGUGGAGAGGAGAUCCUGACAGUGAAGCGGACAGCAUAGACAGCGACCACGAAGACCCUCUCAAGCAUGCUGGGGUGUACACUGCUGAAGAAGUUGCUCUGAUCACACGUGAAAAGCUCAUCAGACUCCAGUCACUCUACAUAGACCAGUUUAAGCGUCUGCAGCACUUGCUGAAGGAAAAAAAGAGACGCUACUUGCAUAACCGCAAGAUUGAGCACGAAACAAUAGGCAGCAGUCUUUUAACAGGACCUGAGGGUCUGUCCAUGAAAGAGAGGGAAAAUCUGAAGAAGCUGAAGGCUUUACGUCGCUACCGGCGGCGCUACGGAGUGGAGGCUCUGCUACACAGGCAGCUCAGGGAGCGCAGGCAGGCCGUUACUGAGGGAGGAACACCUCAGACCCACUCAGUACGCCACAGCCAGAGGUGCAUUUCCUUUGUGGAGGGGACGCGGUGUUCAAACCCCUGUCUGCCAAUGACCCGACACUGCGUGUCUCAUAUUUACCAAGACAGUAGCCAGGUGUUGUUUAAGAUGUGCCCAGGCCUUAAGGACGUGCCCUGUGACAGGCCGGUGCACAUGGGCCAGUCAGAGGAGCCACGAUGCCCGCUGCAUCUCUCCCUGCCUCCCCCCAUGUACCAGCCUGAGCAGGAGCCACUGGCGCCGGAGCAGCUAUCAUUAGCACCAACAGACAUGUACCUGAGCGCUGCCGAGCUUCAGCCCACAGAGAGCCUGCCCCUCGAGUUCAGCGAUGUACGAUUAACUUCAUUUGGGGUCGUUGGUCAUCUAGGAUGUCUGUUGAAUGACAGGAAUACAGAUCUGGAUGUGGUAGGUGAUGAGGAGAUGCAGUGCCCUCCAUCACCGCUGCUCUUUGACACUGCCCUGGCGCUGGAAGACCAAACCAUCCGCGCCAUUGCUGAGGCUCCUAUGGACAUCUUGACCUCAGGACAGGACCCCGAUCUCUCAGAGACAGAAGACAUGUCCACAGCAGACCAGAAUAUUAAUCAACACCUUCUGGCGAGUCAGAUUCAAGAAUUCAACAACGCUGUGGUAUAAAGAGAGAGGGUUGUCUGCUGUUCAUCUGGUGUGAUUUCUUUAAAAAGUAGGCUUUCUAAUGGACUGCGCAUUUGAAUUCAGCUGUGUCGGAGGUAUCUGAAACAGCAGGAGAUGAGGAUGCCACAAAGAAUUCUUCAAAGGACCCUGACACAAUAACAACAGUUGGCACAUCCUGAGCACCUUGUGCACUGAUUUUCUCAGCUGUCUACAGACUUUUACAGAACCUUCUGCACUGGUGUCCGAUCAAUAGCCAUAUUUAACAGAGCCUUUUUUUGUGGAGGAAAUGUUGCACCUUAUUUAUAGAAAAUGUUCUGAUGUAUAUUCCAAAAGCCUUAUCGCUUGGGGAAUGAGUGCUAAUACAUUACUUGUAGGCAACAUGAAUUUGUUGCUUUCUUUGGAAAUAAAACGGAAACUGUGUUGCCCCGGUCUGGAA
Pangasianodon hypophthalmus (striped catfish) is the source of this 2042-nucleotide RNA transcript. It is a transcript of the gene named KAT8 regulatory NSL complex subunit 2, with no coding region annotated. The transcript has 11 exons. NCBI's taxonomy places the organism in Eukaryota, Metazoa, Chordata, Actinopteri, Siluriformes, Pangasiidae. The record is from RefSeq and is a predicted model, not a curated record.